Molecule: transfer RNA, 72 nt
Organism: Selaginella moellendorffii
Lineage: Eukaryota; Viridiplantae; Streptophyta; Lycopodiopsida; Selaginellales; Selaginellaceae
Rfam family: tRNA
About the family: Transfer RNA (tRNA) molecules are approximately 80 nucleotides in length. Their secondary structure includes four short double-helical elements and three loops (D, anti-codon, and T loops).
Source: Rfam
GCUUCCAUAGCAUAGUGGUAGUGCGCUCGCUUCGUAAGCGAGAGGUCGUGAGUUCAAUCCUCAUUGGGAGCA